RNAcentral lists this ribosomal RNA (492 nucleotides) under uncultured bacterium. RNAcentral's name for it is "partial 16S ribosomal RNA". It matches the Rfam family "Bacterial small subunit ribosomal RNA", at positions 29 to 507 of the family's 1533-position model. The record is from RNAcentral.
AGUGAACGCUGGCGGUAGGCCUAACACAUGCAAGUCGAACGGCAGCACAGUAAGAGCUUGCUCUUACGGGUGGCGAGUGGCGGACGGGUGAGGAAUACAUCGGAAUCUACUUUUUCUUGGGGGAUAACGUAGGGAAACUUACGCUAAUACCGCAUACGACCUACGGGUGAAAGCAGGGGAUCUUCGGACCUUUCGCGAUUCAAUUAGCCGAUGUCGGAUUAGCUAGUUGGCGGGGUAAAGGCCCACCAAGGCGACGAUCCGUAGCUGGUCUGAGAGGAUGAUCAGCCACACUGGAACUGAGACACGGUCCAGACUCCUACGGGAGGCAGCAGUGGGGAAUAUUGGACAAUGGGCGCAAGCCUGAUCCAGCCAUACCGCGUGGGUGAAGAAGGACUUCGGGUUGUAAAGCCCUUUUGUUGGGAAAGAAAAGCAGCAGGUUAAUACACCGCUGUUAUGACGGUACCCAAAGAAUAAGCACCGGCUAACUUCGUG